This 460-nucleotide ribosomal RNA is filed under the name uncultured bacterium. Its description in RNAcentral is "partial 16S ribosomal RNA". It matches the Rfam family "Bacterial small subunit ribosomal RNA", at positions 338 to 795 of the family's 1533-position model. The record is from RNAcentral.
CCUACGGGUGGCAGCAGUGAGGAAUAUUGGUCAAUGGACGAGAGUCUGAACCAGCCAAGUAGCGUGAAGGAUGACUGCCCUAUGGGUUGUAAACUUCUUUUAUAUGGGAAUAACAUGUUCCACGUGUGGGAUUUUGUAUGUACCAUAUGAAUAAGGAUCGGCUAACUCCGUGCCAGCAGCCGCGGUAAUACGGAAGAUCCGAGCGUUAUCCGGAUUUAUUGGGUUUAAAGGGAGCGUAGGUGGAUUGUUAAGUCAGUUGUGAAAGUUUGCGGCUCAACCGUAAAAUUGCAGUUGAAACUGGCAGUCUUGAGUACAGUAGAGGUGGGCGGAAUUCGUGGUGUAGCGGUGAAAUGCUUAGAUAUCACGAAGAACUCCGAUUGCGAAGGCAGUUCACUGGACUGCAACUGACACUGAGGCUCGAAAGUGUGGGUAUCAAACAGGAGUAGAUACCCCGGUAGUC